Molecule: long non-coding RNA, 486 nt
Filed under: Rattus norvegicus (Norway rat)
Lineage: Eukaryota; Metazoa; Chordata; Mammalia; Rodentia; Muridae
Description: long non-coding RNA NONRATT012966
Source: RNAcentral
GUGAGGUCCAGCCUUCAAUCCCAAUCAUGACAAGCAAAAUAAAAGACAAGCAGGAGAAGAAGCUGAAGUCUGUAGAUGCUGAUACCCGUGAUCACCUUGCCAGCCAGUGCCUCAUGGGAUAUGAGUGCCCUGCAGGAAUGAAAAGAAUCCUUCAUCAAUAGCUUCCUGCCCCCAAAUAAGGAACCAUUGCUCUGUUCUCCUCAGCAAAUAACAUUGACAUGAAACUUACUGCCAUCUGCUUCCCAAAUGAAGGCUUCUGUUGGGACAACCUUCAAGACCAGGGGCUGAGCCCAGCAUACUCAAAGGCUGUGGAUUCAUCAUCAAGAACAAGAAACGGAUGGAGGACCACACAGAGAUACACAAUACCUAAAUGUCCCCACCAUGGUAUGACACAGCCAAGAAAUUUUUCCUAGAAGUUGUGUUAUGCUUUUUUGAUAGCCAGCCUCUGAAACGGUGAAAUAAUUAAAUGUUUUCUCUUUAUAAGUU